UACGAAGGGUGCAAGCGUCACUCGGAAUUACUGGGCGUAAAGGGCGCGUAGGCGGUCGUGACAAGUCACUUGUGAAAUCUCCGGGCUUAACUCGGAACGGUCAAGUGAUACUGUCGGACUAGAGUACAGAAGGGGCAACUGGAAUUCUCGGUGUAGCGGUGAAAUGCGUAGAUAUCGAGAGGAACACCUGCGGCGAAGGCGGGUUGCUGGGCUGAUACUGACGCUGAGGCGCGAAAGCCAGGGGAGCGAACGGG
Molecule: ribosomal RNA, 254 nt
Filed under: uncultured bacterium
Lineage: Bacteria
Description: partial 16S ribosomal RNA
Rfam family: Bacterial small subunit ribosomal RNA
Source: RNAcentral